GCCCUGGUGGUGGAAUUGGUAGACACAAGGGAUUUAAAAUCCCUCGACGUUCGCGCUGUGCCGGUUCAAGUCCGGCCCGGGGCACCA
Molecule: transfer RNA, 87 nt
Filed under: Vibrio lentus
Lineage: Bacteria; Pseudomonadati; Pseudomonadota; Gammaproteobacteria; Vibrionales; Vibrionaceae
Also listed under: 2 other names
Description: tRNA-Leu
Rfam family: tRNA
About the family: Transfer RNA (tRNA) molecules are approximately 80 nucleotides in length. Their secondary structure includes four short double-helical elements and three loops (D, anti-codon, and T loops).
Source: RNAcentral